RNAcentral lists this ribosomal RNA (516 nucleotides) under Blommersia grandisonae. Its description in RNAcentral is "partial 16S ribosomal RNA". It matches the Rfam family "Bacterial large subunit ribosomal RNA", at positions 1909 to 2597 of the family's 2925-position model. The record is from RNAcentral. Lineage: Eukaryota; Metazoa; Chordata; Amphibia; Anura; Mantellidae.
UGACAAAAUUCAACGGCCGCGGUACCCUAACCGUGCGAAGGUAGCAUAAUCACUUGUUCUUUAAAUGGGGACUUGUAUCAACGGCAUCACGAGGGUUAAACUGUCUCCUUUCUCCAAUCAAUGAAACUGAUCUUCCCGUGAAGAAGCGGGAAUUUUUUUAUAAGACGAGAAGACCCCAUGGAGCUUUAAACCCAGUUACACCUCUAUUUUUAUUCCAUUUUAACCCUUAGAACCCUGUACACCCUGGUUUUAGGUUGGGGUGACCGCGGAGCAUAAAUAAGCCUCCACGAUGAACGGGAAUAUUCCCUCACCUAAGAACUACACUUCUAAGAACUAGUACUCUAACAUAAAGUGAUCCGAUUAUUCGAUCAACGAACCAAGUUACCCUGGGGAUAACAGCGCAAUCCACUUCAAGAGCCCCUAUCGACAGGUGGGUUUACGACCUCGAUGUUGGAUCAGGGUAUCCUAGUGGUGCAGCAGCUACUGAAGGUUCGUUUGUUCAACGAUUAAAACCCU